RNAcentral lists this long non-coding RNA (2154 nucleotides) under Equus caballus (horse). RNAcentral's name for it is "lncRNA (ENSECAG00000052074.1)". The record is from RNAcentral. Lineage: Eukaryota; Metazoa; Chordata; Mammalia; Perissodactyla; Equidae.
CAGAAAGAGAGACGUUCGCCAAGACAACUGGCCUGGAAAAAAUGGUGGGAGGACUGUUUCAGAUUCAAAGAGACAAAAGGCACAUAGCCAUACCCAGUGCAUCCUCCCUGAUCACAUCCAGGUUUGGAAAAAAUAGCCAUAAAAGAAGUUUGGGGGGCGAUUGGGGAAAUUUUGAAGGAAGGCUUGGAAUUAGCUGAUAUCAGGCGAUUAUUGUUAGUUUGUUAGAUGUGAUCAUGGUGUUGUGGUUACGGAGGAGAAUCCUUUUUGGUUGUUUCUCAAGGAUAUUCACAGGAGGUGUUUGGGUGAGAGGUCAAGAUGUCUGCAAGUUUCUUUGAAAUCCUUCAGUAAAAACCACCUGCACAGACAUGCAGGUAAAGCAAACGGGGCAGACGAUGCAUCAGGUGAGAAUCUUCUGGAGGUCGGCCUGGAAGUCUGUAUUUUUAUCAAGAGCUUCUGGUGAUUCUCGACCUCGGAAGAGUUGGGCAAGCACGAGGGCACAGGUGUGCAAAGCCAUGCGAAAGGAUGGCCUGUGGAAGCAGCGGAGUCAGCCACAGCAAGAGUGGAGGGGGUGCCUCUGCAGUGCCCGCGGAGCCCUCUCCACACGGAAGACAGCACCUUUCUCUUCUCGGUGGCACUCGGGUACAACCCCAGCGUGUCCUUGUCCCCACAUUCCAGUCCUGAGAAUUUGAUUGGAAGAUGCCUUCCCACAAGGAGUGUCUGCAGAUGGAAAUGUGCUGGCGGGAGUGUGCAUGCGUUGGGCGCCCUGGCAGUGUGAGUUCUCGCUGUAAAUUAAUCCUGUAGCGUGCUGGAUGGAUGCCAAAACCUCAUAAGCUUGCUGAAAGUAUGUCAGCCCCUGAAAGAUGGACUAAUUCUUUUUUCUUUACUUUUUUUAGCCUGCAAAAAGGAGAGCCCUGGUGAAUUUGCUAGGGUAAGUCUGUCACUUCGGAUGUUUCUGGGGAAACACCCAGACGCCUCUCUCCAAACAACCUCCCCCUCUGUUUCCCUGUGAGCUGCUGCAGCAGUUAGACAAGCGGUCUCUGUCACCGAGAUAAGGGUGUCGCAGUGGUACAGUGGACGCCCACCCAGACACACUGGAAAUAGGCCCUGCCUGCCUGCGGCCCCUUGCAGUCUCAUUGGCAUGCUGCAGCCCCCUGGCCUGCAUUCAGUUCCUCAAGUGCGCCAAGCUCCUUCCUUUCUCAAGGCCUUUACACUUACUAUUCCUGGAGGAUUGUGUCUUUCCGGCUCCGCAUGUAGCCCUUCAAAAGGCUGACUCCUCCCUUAGGUCUUAGCUCAAAUGUCACCUUCUCAGAGGAGCCUUUUUAGACCACACUCUUGCCAGUAGUGGCCCUUUCUUUAUGGUAGCACUUAACACAAACAGAAAUUACAUCGUUUAUUCAUCUAUUUACUUCUUUGCUAUCUGUCUGCCCAUAACAGAUUUCAAGCUCUACAAGUACAGGACUGGGGCUGGGUCUGCCUUAGUCACACUUAGAACCUCCGUAUCUUCAAAGACCUACCACACAGAAAUUCACAGUCAGUACCUGUGAGCGGAAGGAAUGAGUCUCAGGGUUGGAAGGGGCCACAAAAGACCCCAGGCCCAGUGCCCCGACCUGUACUUAAACACUCUCCAGCAGAGUUGGAGACCCAGUCCAUGGCCUGGUGCCCAGUCCAUGAGCGUGUUUUCACCCAAACUGCAGCAAAGCCAGAUGAGCAAGAAGAGUUUUUUUUUCACUGCUCUAAACGUAUUCAACUUAAAGGACUUCACUCUGAGAUUAUGCUCUUCCUAUUUUAGGGGUAUUAAAGUGUCUUAUAUUAAAUCACUGUGGUAGUAAGUGGUAUUUGGCUAUUUAUGUCUUUAUUUGGAAAAAUAAAAACAAAAACUUGGCGACUUUAGUUGAUCUCCUGGUUUUUCUGGCCCCUGAAAUUCAGAAGUCUGGAGGUCACAGCCACAUCCAUGCCUCUUAGCGGCUGUUUAGAUGAGGCUCGAUUGGCCAUUGCAUCCCUGGUUAGCAUGACGAUUAAGAUGUGCUUUCCGUGAGCCUUUGGUCUGUCUCUCCGUCCCUCCCGCCCAUGGCAGCCAUGGAUGGAAGCGCACCCUCAGCUCUCCUUUAAGAGCCUGCUGCAGGCUGCUGCUGCCAACUCCAGCUGCUACCUCUU